AGAGUUUGAUCAUGGCUCAGAUUGAACGCUGGCGGUAUGCCUAACACAUGCAAGUCGAACGAGGCAGUAAUGCCUAGUGGCGGACGGGUGAGGAAUACGUAGGGAUCUGCCCUUGAGUGGGGGAUAACCCGGGGAAACCCGGAUUAAUACCGCAUGAUCUCGCAAGAGCAAAGAGGGGGACCGCAAGGCCUCUCGCUUUUGGAGGAACCUACGUCGGAUUAGCUAGUUGGUGAGGUAACGGCUCACCAAGGCGACGAUCCGUAACUGGUCUGAGAGGAUGAUCAGUCACACCGGAACUGAGACACGGUCCGGACUCCUACGGGAGGCAGCAGUGGGGAAUAUUGGACAAUGGGCGAAAGCCUGAUCCAGCAAUACCGCGUGUGUGAAGAAGGCCUUCGGGUUGUAAAGCACUUUAAGUUGGGAAGAAAAAGCUUCACCUAAUACGUGGAGCCUUGACGGUACCGACAGAAUAAGCACCGGCUAACUCUGUGCCAGCAGCCGCGGUAAUACAGAGGGUGCUAGCGUUAAUCGGAUUUACUGGGCGUAAAGCGUGCGUAGGCGGUUUGAUAAGUCGAUUGUGAAAGCCCCGGGCUUAACCUGGGAAUUGCGGUCGAUACUGUCAGACUCGAAAACGGUAGAGGGAGGUGGAACUCCAGGUGUAGCGGUGAAAUGUGUAGAUAUCUGGAAGAACACCGAUGGCGAAGGCAGCUUCCUGGGCCUGUUUUGACACUGAGGCACGAAAGCGUGGGUAGCAAACAGGAUUAGAUACCCUGGUAGUCC
This 780-nucleotide ribosomal RNA is filed under the name uncultured bacterium. RNAcentral's name for it is "bacterial SSU rRNA". It matches the Rfam family "Bacterial small subunit ribosomal RNA", at positions 8 to 796 of the family's 1533-position model. The record is from RNAcentral.